UACGUAGGGGGCAAGCGUUAUCCGGAUUCACUGGGCGUAAAGGGAGCGCAGGCGGCAUGGCAAGUCUGAUGUGAAAACCCGGGGCCCAACCCCGGGAGUGCAUUGGAAACUGCCAGGCUGGAGUGUCGGAGGGGUAAGCGGAAUUCCCAGUGUAGCGGUGAAAUGCGUAGAUAUUAGGAGGAACACCAGUGGCGAAGGCGGCUUACUGGACGACUACUGACGCUGAGGCUCGAAAGCGUGGGGAGCAAACAGG
RNAcentral lists this ribosomal RNA (253 nucleotides) under uncultured bacterium. Its description in RNAcentral is "partial 16S ribosomal RNA". It matches the Rfam family "Bacterial small subunit ribosomal RNA", at positions 524 to 776 of the family's 1533-position model. The record is from RNAcentral.